GUUGUAUGGUUAAGUGACUAAGCGUACACGGUGGAUGCCUUGGCAGUCAGAGGCGAUGAAAGACGUAGUAACUUGCGAUAAGCCCAGAUUAGGUAGUAACAACCAUUUGAGUCUGGGAUUUCUGAAUGGGGAAACCCACGUGCAUAAGCACGUAUCCUUACCUGAAUACAUAGGGUAAGGAGGCGAACCGGGGGAACUGAAACAUCUAAGUACCCCGAGGAAAAGAAAUCAACCGAGAUUCCGAAAGUAGCGGCGAGCGAAAUUGGACUAGCCCUUAAGCUUUACACGCGUUAGACGAACGGUCUGGAAAGUCCGACGAUACAGGGUGAUAGUCCCGUAGUUGACGACGUGUGUUCAGUGAAAUCGAGUAGGGCGGGACACGUGAUAUCCUGUCUGAAUAUGGGGGGACCAUCCUCCAAGGCUAAAUACUACUGACUGACCGAUAGUGAACCAGUACCGUGAGGGAAAGGCGAAAAGAACCCCUGUGAGGGGAGUGAAAUAGAACCUGAAACCGUGUACGUACAAGCAGUAGGAGCAGGCUUUGUCCUGUGACUGCGUACCUUUUGUAUAAUGGGUCAGCGACUUAUAUUCAGUGGCAAGGUUAACCAUCUAGGGGAGCCGUAGGGAAACCGAGUCUUAACUGGGCGUUCAGUCUCUGGAUAUAGACCCGAAACCAGGUGAUCUAGCCAUGGGCAGGUUGAAGGUUGAGUAACAUCAACUGGAGGACCGAACCGACUAAUGUUGAAAAAUUAGCGGAUGACUUGUGGCUAGGGGUGAAAGGCCAAUCAAACCUGGAGAUAGCUGGUUCUCCCCGAAAGCUAUUUAGGUAGCGCCUCGGACGAAUACUACUGGGGGUAGAGCACUGUUAAGGCUAGGGGGUCAUCCCGACUUACCAACCCUUUGCAAACUCCGAAUACCAGUAAGUACUAUCCGGGAGACACACGGCGGGUGCUAACGUCCGUCGUGGAGAGGGAAACAACCCAGACCGCCAGCUAAGGUCCCAAAUUACUACUAAGUGGGAAACGAUGUGGGAAGGCUCAGACAGCCAGGAUGUUGGCUUAGAAGCAGCCAUCAUUUAAAGAAAGCGUAAUAGCUCACUGGUCGAGUCGGCCUGCGCGGAAGAUGUAACGGGGCUAAGUAGUAAACCGAAGCUGCGGCAAUAUACUUUUGUAUAUUGGGUAGGGGAGCGUUCUGUAAGCGGUUGAAGGUGUGUGGUAACGCAUGCUGGACGUAUCAGAAGUGCGAAUGCUGACAUGAGUAACGAUAAAGGGGGUGAAAAACCUCCUCGCCGGAAGACCAAGGGUUCCUGUCCAACGUUAAUCGGGGCAGGGUAAGUCGACCCCUAAGGCGAGGCCGAAAGGCGUAGUCGAUGGGAAACGGGUUAAUAUUCCCGUACUUCUUACAAUUGCGAUGGGGGGACGGAGAAGGCUAGGUGGGCCUGGCGACGGUUGUCCAGGUUCAAGUGCGUAGGCUGAGAGAUUAGGUAAAUCCGGUUUCUCUUAAGGCUGAGACACGACGUCGAGCACCUACGGGUGUGAAGUCAUUGAUGCCAUGCUUCCAGGAAAAGCCUCUAAGCUUCAGAUUGUAAGGAAUCGUACCCCAAACCGACACAGGUGGUCGGGUAGAGAAUACCAAGGCGCUUGAGAGAACUCGGGUGAAGGAACUAGGCAAAAUGGUACCGUAACUUCGGGAGAAGGUACGCUCUUGAUGGUGAAGUCCCUUGCGGAUGGAGCUGACGAGAGUCGCAGAUACCAGGUGGCUGCAACUGUUUAUUAAAAACACAGCACUGUGCAAAAUCGUAAGAUGACGUAUACGGUGUGACGCCUGCCCGGUGCCGGAAGGUUAAUUGAUGGGGUUAGACUUCGGUCGAAGCUCUUGAUCGAAGCCCCGGUAAACGGCGGCCGUAACUAUAACGGUCCUAAGGUAGCGAAAUUCCUUGUCGGGUAAGUUCCGACCUGCACGAAUGGCGUAAUGAUGGCCACGCUGUCUCCACCCGAGACUCAGUGAAAUUGAAAUCGCUGUGAAGAUGCAGUGUACCCGCGGCUAGACGGAAAGACCCCGUGAACCUUUACUACAGCUUGGCACUGAACAUUGACCCUACAUGUGUAGGAUAGGUGGGAGGCUUUGAAGCACGUACGCCAGUAUGUGUGGAGCCGUCCUUGAAAUACCACCCUUGUAGUGUUGAUGUUCUAACGUCGACCCCUUAUCGGGGUUGCGGACAGUGCCUGGUGGGUAGUUUGACUGGGGCGGUCUCCUCCCAAAGAGUAACGGAGGAGCACGAAGGUGGGCUAAUCACGGUUGGACAUCGUGAGGUUAGUGCAAUGGCAUAAGCCCGCUUGACUGCGAGAAUGACAAUUCGAGCAGGUGCGAAAGCAGGUCAUAGUGAUCCGGUGGUUCUGAAUGGAAGGGCCAUCGCUCAACGGAUAAAAGGUACUCCGGGGAUAACAGGCUGAUACCGCCCAAGAGUUCAUAUCGACGGCGGUGUUUGGCACCUCGAUGUCGGCUCAUCACAUCCUGGGGCUGAAGUCGGUCCCAAGGGUAUGGCUGUUCGCCAUUUAAAGUGGUACGCGAGCUGGGUUUAGAACGUCGUGAGACAGUUCGGUCCCUAUCUGCCGUGGGCGUUGGAAGAUUGAAGGGGGCUGCUCCUAGUACGAGAGGACCGGAGUGGACGAACCUCUGGUGUUCGGGUUGUGUCGCCAGACGCAUUGCCCGGUAGCUAAGUUCGGAAUCGAUAACCGCUGAAAGCAUCUAAGCGGGAAGCGAGCCCUGAGAUGAGUCUUCCCUGAUACUUUAAGUAUCCUAAAGGGUUGUCGGAGACUACGACGUUGAUAGGUCAGGUGUGUAAGUGCUGUGAGGCAUUGAGCUAACUGAUACUAAUUGCCCGUGAGGCUUAACCAUACAACACCCAAGGGGUUU
RNAcentral lists this ribosomal RNA (2916 nucleotides) under Vibrio sp. T21. RNAcentral's name for it is "bacterial LSU rRNA". It matches the Rfam family "Bacterial large subunit ribosomal RNA". The record is from RNAcentral. Lineage: Bacteria; Pseudomonadati; Pseudomonadota; Gammaproteobacteria; Vibrionales; Vibrionaceae.